This 1556-nucleotide ribosomal RNA is filed under the name Salmonella enterica subsp. enterica serovar Thompson. RNAcentral's name for it is "bacterial SSU rRNA". It matches the Rfam family "Bacterial small subunit ribosomal RNA". RNAcentral also lists the same sequence under 13 other names. The record is from RNAcentral. Lineage: Bacteria; Pseudomonadati; Pseudomonadota; Gammaproteobacteria; Enterobacterales; Enterobacteriaceae.
UUAAAUUGAAGAGUUUGAUCAUGGCUCAGAUUGAACGCUGGCGGCAGGCCUAACACAUGCAAGUCGAACGGUAACAGGAAGCAGCUUGCUGCUUUGCUGACGAGUGGCGGACGGGUGAGUAAUGUCUGGGAAACUGCCUGAUGGAGGGGGAUAACUACUGGAAACGGUGGCUAAUACCGCAUAACGUCGCAAGACCAAAGAGGGGGACCUUCGGGCCUCUUGCCAUCAGAUGUGCCCAGAUGGGAUUAGCUAGUUGGUGAGGUAACGGCUCACCAAGGCGACGAUCCCUAGCUGGUCUGAGAGGAUGACCAGCCACACUGGAACUGAGACACGGUCCAGACUCCUACGGGAGGCAGCAGUGGGGAAUAUUGCACAAUGGGCGCAAGCCUGAUGCAGCCAUGCCGCGUGUAUGAAGAAGGCCUUCGGGUUGUAAAGUACUUUCAGCGGGGAGGAAGGUGUUGUGGUUAAUAACCGCAGCAAUUGACGUUACCCGCAGAAGAAGCACCGGCUAACUCCGUGCCAGCAGCCGCGGUAAUACGGAGGGUGCAAGCGUUAAUCGGAAUUACUGGGCGUAAAGCGCACGCAGGCGGUCUGUCAAGUCGGAUGUGAAAUCCCCGGGCUCAACCUGGGAACUGCAUUCGAAACUGGCAGGCUUGAGUCUUGUAGAGGGGGGUAGAAUUCCAGGUGUAGCGGUGAAAUGCGUAGAGAUCUGGAGGAAUACCGGUGGCGAAGGCGGCCCCCUGGACAAAGACUGACGCUCAGGUGCGAAAGCGUGGGGAGCAAACAGGAUUAGAUACCCUGGUAGUCCACGCCGUAAACGAUGUCUACUUGGAGGUUGUGCCCUUGAGGCGUGGCUUCCGGAGCUAACGCGUUAAGUAGACCGCCUGGGGAGUACGGCCGCAAGGUUAAAACUCAAAUGAAUUGACGGGGGCCCGCACAAGCGGUGGAGCAUGUGGUUUAAUUCGAUGCAACGCGAAGAACCUUACCUGGUCUUGACAUCCACAGAACUUUCCAGAGAUGGAUUGGUGCCUUCGGGAACUGUGAGACAGGUGCUGCAUGGCUGUCGUCAGCUCGUGUUGUGAAAUGUUGGGUUAAGUCCCGCAACGAGCGCAACCCUUAUCCUUUGUUGCCAGCGGUUAGGCCGGGAACUCAAAGGAGACUGCCAGUGAUAAACUGGAGGAAGGUGGGGAUGACGUCAAGUCAUCAUGGCCCUUACGACCAGGGCUACACACGUGCUACAAUGGCGCAUACAAAGAGAAGCGACCUCGCGAGAGCAAGCGGACCUCAUAAAGUGCGUCGUAGUCCGGAUUGGAGUCUGCAACUCGACUCCAUGAAGUCGGAAUCGCUAGUAAUCGUGGAUCAGAAUGCCACGGUGAAUACGUUCCCGGGCCUUGUACACACCGCCCGUCACACCAUGGGAGUGGGUUGCAAAAGAAGUAGGUAGCUUAACCUUCGGGAGGGCGCUUACCACUUUGUGAUUCAUGACUGGGGUGAAGUCGUAACAAGGUAACCGUAGGGGAACCUGCGGUUGGAUCACCUCCUUACCUUAAAGAAGC